RNAcentral lists this ribosomal RNA (484 nucleotides) under uncultured bacterium. RNAcentral's name for it is "partial 16S ribosomal RNA". It matches the Rfam family "Bacterial small subunit ribosomal RNA", at positions 30 to 507 of the family's 1533-position model. The record is from RNAcentral.
AUUGAACGCUGGCGGCAGGCCUAACACAUGCAAGUCGAGCGGAUGAAGGGAGCUUGCUCCUGGAUUCAGCGGCGGACGGGUGAGUAAUGCCUAGGAAUCUGCCUGGUAGUGGGGGAUAACGUCCGGAAACGGGCGCUAAUACCGCAGACGUCCUGAGGGAGAAAGUGGGGGAUCUUCGGACCUCACGCUAUCAGAUGAGCCUAGGUCGGAUUAGCUAGUUGGUGGGGUAAAGGCCUACCAAGGCGACGAUCCGUAACUGGUCUGAGAGGAUGAUCAGUCACACGGGAACUGAGACACGGUCCAGGCUCCUACGGGAGGCAGCAGUGGGGAAUAGUGGACAAUGGGCGAAAGCCUGAUCCAGUCAUGCCGCGUGUGUGAAGAAGGUCUUCGGAUUGGAAAGCACUUUAAGUUGGGAGGAAGGGCAGUAAGUUAAUACCUUGCUGUUUUGACGUUACCAACAGAAUAAGCACCGGCUAACUUCGUG